Molecule: long non-coding RNA, 379 nt
Filed under: Gossypium barbadense (sea-island cotton)
Lineage: Eukaryota; Viridiplantae; Streptophyta; Magnoliopsida; Malvales; Malvaceae
Description: long non-coding RNA (GBAR_LNC001440)
Source: RNAcentral
AAAGUCGGAAAAAGGGACGACAAAACUAAGCGAAUAGCCGUAGAAUUAUAGUCGUCGACAACUUUUAAGGUAAGUUUCUAGCAUAUAAGUUUAGUUAUAAUGAAGAAUGAUAUGGAAAACGGCAUAUAUGAUAUUAUGUUUUAAAUAUGUGAAUGAGAACUUUACAGAGUAAAUUGUAUAAAUCUGCAAGGGACAGCAGCAGUAGUGUUUUGGAAAAAUUACCAUAAAUUGUGGGACUUGAGUUAAAGGCUGAAUAAAAUAUGUAAUUAAAGCUUAAUGAGUCUAGUUUCUUAUAAAAGAAACCGUGUAAGCAAAGGAAUUUCCGAUAAUGAGAUAUUUAAAGUUGUGUGAGACGGUGUCAGAAUGACUCCGAAAUCCC